UACGUAGGGUGCAAGCGUUAAUCGGAAUUACUGGGCGUAAAGCGUGCGCAGGCGGUUUUGUAAGUUUGUCGUGAAAGCCCCGGGCUCAACCUGGGAAUUGCGAUGAAGACUGCAAGGCUUGAAUCUGGCAGAGGGGGGUAGAAUUCCACGUGUAGCAGUGAAAUGCGUAGAGAUGUGGAGGAACACCGAUGGCGAAGGCAGCCCCC
RNAcentral lists this ribosomal RNA (206 nucleotides) under uncultured Janthinobacterium sp. Its description in RNAcentral is "partial 16S ribosomal RNA". It matches the Rfam family "Bacterial small subunit ribosomal RNA", at positions 524 to 729 of the family's 1533-position model. Lineage: Bacteria; Pseudomonadati; Pseudomonadota; Betaproteobacteria; Burkholderiales; Oxalobacteraceae. The record is from RNAcentral.